Molecule: ribosomal RNA, 253 nt
Filed under: uncultured bacterium
Lineage: Bacteria
Description: partial 16S ribosomal RNA
Rfam family: Bacterial small subunit ribosomal RNA
Source: RNAcentral
UACGGAAGGUCCGGGCGUUAUCCGGAUUUAUUGGGUUUAAAGGGAGCGUAGGCCGAAGUUUAAGCGAGCUGCGAAAUGUGGCGGCUCAACCGCCGAACUGCAGCGCGAACUGGUUUUCUUGAGUGCGCUAAAGGCGGGCGGAAUUCGUGGUGUAGCGGUGAAAUGCUUAGAUAUCACGAGGAAUCCCGAUUGCGAAGGCAGCGUCCGGCAACGGUACUGACGCUGAGGCUCGAAAGUGCGGGUAUCGAACAGG